AGAGUUUGAUCCUGGCUCAGAUUGAACGCUGGCGGCAGGCCUAACACAUGCAAGUCGAACGGUAACAGGAAGCAGCUUGCUGCUUUGCUGACGAGUGGCGGACGGGUGAGUAAUGUCUGGGAAACUGCCUGAUGGAGGGGGAUAACUACUGGAAACGGUAGCUAAUACCGCAUAACGUCGCAAGACCAAAGAGNGGGGACCUUCGGGCCUCUUGCCAUCGGAUGUGCCCAGAUGGGAUUAGCUAGUAGGUGGGGUAAAGGCUCACCUAGGCGACGAUCCCUAGCUGGUCUGAGAGGAUGACCAGCCACACUGGAACUGAGACACGGUCCAGACUCCUACGGGAGGCAGCAGUGGGGAAUAUUGCACAAUGGGCGCAAGCCUGAUGCAGCCAUGCCGCGUGUAUGAAGAAGGCCUUCGGGUUGUAAAGUACUUUCAGCGGGGAGGAAGGGAGUAAAGUUAAUACCUUUGCUCAUUGACGUUACCCGCAGAAGAAGCACCGGCUAACUCCGU
This 510-nucleotide ribosomal RNA is filed under the name uncultured Escherichia sp. RNAcentral describes it as "bacterial SSU rRNA". It matches the Rfam family "Bacterial small subunit ribosomal RNA", at positions 8 to 506 of the family's 1533-position model. The record is from RNAcentral. Lineage: Bacteria; Pseudomonadati; Pseudomonadota; Gammaproteobacteria; Enterobacterales; Enterobacteriaceae.